UAAAAUACCCAACUAACAUUAUCCAUAAACAAAAACAAAAUAUGAAUACAUUGUUUGAUCAACAAUUCAAAAGUUAAAAUAGAUGAGUUUGCAUAAAAAAAUAAAGUUCUAAACUAAAAUAUCCUUGAACAUGACAAUAGAAAGUCUAACAACGAUCAACAACACUCAAGUAAGGUCUUCGUCACUGCUUUCAUCCACAAUCGAUGCACCUGCAAAAUACAAUUAGAAAUAAUUGAACAAUAUUUUUAAGAUAAUUGAAUGACAAUUAAGUGCGCACCAAAGCAGUCGAGGUGCAGCAACAAGUGAUUGGGCAGUCAAAUAUGCAGAUAGUUUCAUGCGUGCAGGAGAAGAGAGCUGGGGUGCACAAGGUUGUGUGUUCAGAUUUGGGUGUAAUUGAUGAUUGAGCU
RNAcentral lists this long non-coding RNA (407 nucleotides) under Nicotiana tabacum (common tobacco). RNAcentral's name for it is "long non-coding RNA (NTAB_LNC004386)". The record is from RNAcentral. Lineage: Eukaryota; Viridiplantae; Streptophyta; Magnoliopsida; Solanales; Solanaceae.